AAGAGUCGAACCUGCCCGGUGAAUUUUUUAACGGCCGCGGUACUCUGACCGUGCGAAGGUAGCAUAAUCAUUUGCCUUUCAAUUGGAGGCUAGUAUGAAAGGUUUGACGGAAGCUAAGCUGUCUUUUAUUAAGUAAAAUAAAAUUGACUUUUAAGUGCAAAGGCUUAUAUGUAACUAAAAGACAAGAAGACCCUAUUGAGCUUUAAAAUUUAAAAAGACUAAAAUAUAUUACAAUAAGAUUUUAAUUCUUUUAUUUUUUUUAGUUGGGGCGACUUUGGAACAAUAAUAACUUCCUAAAAAUUAAGAGUACUUUUAAGUUUUGAUCCAAGAAAUCUUGAUUAAUAGAAUUAGUUACCAUAGGGAUAACAGCAUAAUUCUUCUUGAGAGUUCUAAUCGAAAGAAGAGAUUGUGACCUCGAUGUUGGACUAGAAUAUCCUAAAGGUGCAGAAGUUUUUGAAGGUUGGUCUGUUCG
Molecule: ribosomal RNA, 472 nt
Filed under: Marisa planogyra
Lineage: Eukaryota; Metazoa; Mollusca; Gastropoda; Architaenioglossa; Ampullariidae
Description: partial 16S ribosomal RNA
Rfam family: Bacterial large subunit ribosomal RNA
Source: RNAcentral